RNAcentral lists this ribosomal RNA (470 nucleotides) under uncultured bacterium. RNAcentral describes it as "bacterial SSU rRNA". It matches the Rfam family "Bacterial small subunit ribosomal RNA", at positions 335 to 803 of the family's 1533-position model. The record is from RNAcentral.
ACUCCUACGGGAGGCAGCAGUGGGGAAUAUUGCACAAUGGGGGAAACCCUGAUGCAGCCAUGCCGCGUGUGUGAAGAAGGCCUUGGGUUGUAAAGCACUUUCAGUAGGGAGGAAGGUAGUGUAGUUAACACCUGCAUUAUUUGACGUUACCUACAGAAGAAGCACCGGCUAACUCCGUGCCAGCAGCCGCGGUAAUACGGAGGGUGCGAGCGUUAAUCGGAAUUACUGGGCGUAAAGCGCAUGCAGGCGGCCUGUUAAGUCAGAUGUGAAAGCCCGGGGCUUAACCUCGGAAUUGCAUUUGAAACUGGCAGGCUAGAGUCUUGUAGAGGGGUUAGAAUUUCAGGUGUAGCGGUGAAAUGCGUAGAGAUCUGAAGGAAUACCAGUGGCGAAGGCGGCCCCUGGACAAAGACUGACGCUCAGAUGCGAAAGCGUGGGAGCAAACAGGAUUAGAUACCCCUGGUAGCGACUGA